CCAGACUCCUACGGGAGGCAGCAGUGGGGAAUAUUGCACAAUGGGGGGAACCCUGAUGCAGCGACGCCGCGUGGGUGAAGGAGCACCUCGGUGCGUAAAGCCCUAUCGGCAGGGAAGAAAAGCGAACAGGUUCGCCUGGACGGUACCUGACUAAGAAGCCCCGGCUAACUACGUGCCAGCAGCCGCGGGAAUACGUAGGGGGCAAGCGUUAUCCGGAUUUACUGGGUGUAAAGGGGGCGCAGACGGCGAUGCAAGCCAGGAGUGAAAGCCCGGGGCCCAACCCCGGGACUGCCCUUGGAACUGCAUGGCUGGAGUGCGGGAGGGGCAGGCGGAAUUCCUGGUGUAGCGGUGAAAUGCAUAGAUAUCACGCAGAACUCCGAUUGCGAAGGCAGCGCACCGGCGCCCUACUGACGCUCAGGCACGAAAGCGUGGGUAUCGAACAGGAUUAGAUACCCUAGUA
This 460-nucleotide ribosomal RNA is filed under the name uncultured bacterium. RNAcentral's name for it is "bacterial SSU rRNA". It matches the Rfam family "Bacterial small subunit ribosomal RNA", at positions 331 to 792 of the family's 1533-position model. The record is from RNAcentral.